RNAcentral lists this ribosomal RNA (326 nucleotides) under uncultured bacterium. RNAcentral describes it as "bacterial SSU rRNA". It matches the Rfam family "Bacterial small subunit ribosomal RNA", at positions 28 to 334 of the family's 1533-position model. The record is from RNAcentral.
GACGAACGCUGGCGGCGUGCCUAAUACAUGCAAGUCGAACGCAUUUUCUUUCACCGUAGCUUGCUACACCGAAAGAAAAUGAGUGGCGAACGGGUGAGUAACACGUGGGUAACCUGCCCAUCAGCGGGGGAUAACACUUGGAAACAGGUGCUAAUACCGCAUAAUUCCAUUUACCGCAUGGCAAAUGGAUGAAAGGCGCUUUUGCGUCACUGAUGGAUGGACCCGCGGUGCAUUAGCUAGUUGGUGGGGUAACGCCUACCAAGGCUGCGAUGCAUAGCCGAGUUGAGAGACUGAUCGGCCACGAUUGGGACUGAGACACGGCCCAA